UACGAACAUAAUAAUUAGGGACAAAUUUUUAAUUUUACAACUCUAAAACAAUCUUAUCUUAUCUUUUAUCUUUGCUUGCAGCUUGAUUUCACACCGUAUUUUUUGGUACAGGUACGGAAUUUUCAGCAUGUGAUAUCAGUAGCCGAAAUUUUGCAGGCCGACCACAGAUAUCAGGUGUUCGUCGGCAGGGGAUCGAACCCCGGACCAUGUACAUGUUUGUCGAGAGUCCUAACCACUGUGCCACCAACGCAGUACACAUAACGGAAACUGGGAAAUUUUCUACCCUUUUAACCAAGUUUCCGAAGCUAACGGCAUCUUUACUUUGAACAAAUUUAAUUGCUCAAAACAGGUCUUUAUGCCUAUAAAUUCUUCCAAGAAACAUUGAAAUAGGACUUUGACUCUGUUUUGUUCGUUUCCGGAUCUGAAGUAAUGGUUAGUAAGGACAGACAAGAGCAUUUGCAUGGAGGUGUUAGAGUUAAAGUUCUGCAACCACUGGUAGACAAACUAUGAAGGAAGCAUUUCCUGAGAGUGUUUUUAUUAAUCAAGAGAGAAAGUUAGAGUUUCGAAGACGAUCAGAUACUUCAGUAUUUCUGACCAUAAACGAUGUCAAAUGACGAUCCACAAUGGUUCUUUAAUUGAAAUUGCGGUCAGUCCCUGGUAAACUUAUACGUCUUCAGGCUCCAGAGGGAGUAUGGCUGCAAAGCUGAAACUUCAGGCAGUCGACAGAAGGAUAAAACCAGAAGAAACACGGGAUUAUUU
This 759-nucleotide non-coding RNA is filed under the name Trichobilharzia regenti. RNAcentral's name for it is "Eukaryotic small subunit ribosomal RNA". It matches the Rfam family "Eukaryotic small subunit ribosomal RNA", at positions 641 to 1195 of the family's 1831-position model. Lineage: Eukaryota; Metazoa; Platyhelminthes; Trematoda; Strigeidida; Schistosomatidae. The record is from Rfam by way of RNAcentral.